GCAUUGGUGGUUCAGUGGCAGAAUUCUCAUCUUUCAUGCAGGAGACCUGGGUUCAAUUUCUGGUCAGUGCA
RNAcentral lists this transfer RNA (71 nucleotides) under Loxodonta africana (African savanna elephant). It matches the Rfam family "tRNA". Rfam says of the family: Transfer RNA (tRNA) molecules are approximately 80 nucleotides in length. Their secondary structure includes four short double-helical elements and three loops (D, anti-codon, and T loops). Further hydrogen bonds mediate the characteristic L-shaped molecular structure. tRNAs have two regions of fundamental functional importance: the anti-codon, which is responsible for specific mRNA codon recognition, and the 3' end, to which the tRNAs corresponding amino acid is attached (by aminoacyl-tRNA synthetases). tRNAs cope with the degeneracy of the genetic code in two manners: having more than one tRNA (with a specific anti-codon) for a particular amino acid; and 'wobble' base-pairing, i.e. permitting non-standard base-pairing at the 3rd anti-codon position. Lineage: Eukaryota; Metazoa; Chordata; Mammalia; Proboscidea; Elephantidae. The record is from Rfam by way of RNAcentral.